Molecule: ribosomal RNA, 482 nt
Filed under: uncultured bacterium
Lineage: Bacteria
Description: partial 16S ribosomal RNA
Rfam family: Bacterial small subunit ribosomal RNA
Source: RNAcentral
AUUGAACGCUGGCGGCAUGCCUUACACAUGCAAGUCGAACGGUAACGGGCCUUCGGGUGCCGACGAGUGGCGAACGGGUGAGUAAUACAUCGGAACGUGCCCGAUCGUGGGGGAUAACGAGGCGAAAGCUUUGCUAAUACCGCAUACGAUCUACGGAUGAAAGCCGGGGACCGCAAGGCCUUGCGCGGACGGUGCGGCCGAUGGCAGCUUAGGUAGUUGGUGGGAUAAAAGCUUACCAAGCCGACGAUCUGUAGCUGGUCUGAGAGGAUGAUCAGCCACACUGGGACUGAGACACGGCCCAGACUCCUACGGGAGGCAGCAGUGGGGAAUUUUGGACAAUGGGCGCAAGCCUGAUCCAGCCAUGCCGCGUGCAGGAUGAAGGCCUUCGGGUUGUAAACUGCUUUUGUACGGAACGAAAAGCCUUCUUUUAAUACAGGAGGGUCAUGACGGUACCGUAAGAAUAAGCACCGGCUAACUACGUG